Molecule: unclassified non-coding RNA, 3269 nt
Filed under: Hevea brasiliensis (rubber tree)
Lineage: Eukaryota; Viridiplantae; Streptophyta; Magnoliopsida; Malpighiales; Euphorbiaceae
Source: RNAcentral
ACUUCCUCUCUCUUUCUAUGCAUUUAUGCACAGCGCAUGUGAUUUCUUUGGUUCUUUCAUUGGUUGCUUUUGAAUUGUUAUUACUGGUUUUUAUUUGUUGUCUGCCAAGAAAAUUUGAGAAAAAGGAGAGCAAUGAGUUCUGGGUAUUUGUUAUCUUCUUGUCUCGUAGUAUAAAGCAAUGACCUUCACUCUUCUGAACCUAAUAUAGUUAUUUGUUUAAUUUUUCUCUUGCAAACUAAAGGGAGAGUGGUGGGAAUUCAAUUUUCUUUCGUUGGGAUUUGGACCCUUUAUUUUAUUAGCAAGGAACUGUUUUGUUUUCCCUAUAUCUGAUUUUGGUGGAGUUUGUGAUUAGGCAUUCAAAAAGUGAAAUGGAAUUACGAUUUUUUUUUUUUUUAUAGAGUUUUGGUAGAUGUUUGGUAUAACAUAAUUGAAUGUAUUCAUUUUCAUGUAAUGAAUUGAUUUGUUAAUUCACUGUUUUAUUAAAUUUUUAUCCGAUCACGUUCCAUUACAUCCAAUUGCAUCCUGCCAAUGCCAAAUAUGCACUUAGUGCUUAUUUUGUUCUAUAAGUUGUAUUAGCUGAUCUGAGGAUAGUCUAUGAAGGAACUGGGCAUGGAAUGUGUGACUUGAUUGUGACAGAUCACAGGAUUUUUUUUCCCCACUCAUUGAGUUGGGCAUUUUUAUGCUACUAAGUUGCAGCUACCUUCUAGGAAAUCUCUGGAAGGAGUCUUAGACCUACCAUUGGUUGAGUCUGUUUUUGCUACAUUCAGAUAUUAUGUUUAAAUAAAGAUGUAAAGUUGUGGAGAGAUCACAGUGCUUAAAGAUCAUUGUACUUCCAACUGACUCCUGUUUUUGUAGCAGGGUUGAUGUUUCCUAUGUUUGUUUGUACAAAUAAUUAUCUGAAGUCUGAGAUAGUCAGAGCUUCACAUUUCCAUGAGAGGGAAUAUCGGUUUUCUACCAGAGCACCAUGGAAGUAUUCUUUUCAGCCCGCUUUUGUAGGCACACCUGAUCUGGUUGAGCAUAGGAAACUCCAUUUCCAGGCAAGAGGUUUUAAGUAUCAAAAGAUGUCAUCUCCAGUCAUGGGAAAAACAGAAAACAAUGUGGCUGUCAAAGAUUAUUCGCAGGAACUAACUCUUUCAAAUUGUUAUGAAACUGCCAUGGAAGCACUUUCCUCUCUCAUUACCCGUAAAAAACGUGGAACCCCCUCAUCUAUCGUUCCCAAAUAUGGAAAAUUGGACAGGAUGCAGAUGUAUCUUAAGAUACUAGACUUGGAAGAGCAUAUAGCUGAGCUCAAGAUUAUCCAUGUUGCUGGAACAAAAGGGAAGGGUUCAACGUGCUCAUUCUGUGAAGCUAUUUUACGAGAAUGUGGCUUUCGAACAGGACUGUUUACUUCCCCUCACCUAAUUGAUGUGAGAGAAAGAUUCCGUAUAGAUGGAUUGGACAUAUCUGAAGAUAAAUUUUUAUUGUAUUUUUGGGAUUGUUGGAAUCGAUUGAAGGAACAAGUAACCGAGGACCUGCCAAUGCCCCCACUAUUUCAAUUCCUCACAGUCUUGGCAUUCAAAAUAUUUGUCUGUGAACAGGUAGAUGUUGCCAUAAUUGAAGUUGGUCUUGGAGGAACAAAUGAUUCAACGAAUGUGAUUAAAGAGCCUGUUGUCUGUGGCAUUACACCUUUGGGGAUGGAUCACACAGAGGUUCUUGGGGAUACACUUGGACAGAUUGCUUCACACAAAGCUGGAAUUUUCAAGCCCCAAAUUCCUGCAUUUACGGUACACCAACUUUCUGAAGCAAUGGAUGUUCUUCAUGAGAAGGCCAAUGAAUUAGCGGUGCCCCUGAAAGUGGUGGAACCUCUUGAUGAAAGAAAGUUGGAGGGAUUGAAGCUUAGCUUGUCUGGUGAUCAUCAAUACACUAAUGCUGGUCUCGCUGUUUUCCUAUGUAAAUGUUGGCUUCAAAGAACAAGAAACUGGGAAAAGAUAUUCCAAAAUGAUAAUGAGGAAGCUAAUAUGCCAAAGGCAUUUCUUAGGGGUCUUGCAACAGCACGUCUUUCUGGGAGGGCUCAAGUUGUUUAUGAUUCUUCUUCAAAUUGCCACAGUUCCUUAGAACUAGCAGAAAAUUCUUCUGGAGAUCUGAUUUUCUACUUGGAUGGAGCUCACAGUCCAGAAAGUAUUGAGGUUUGUGCCAAAUGGUUCUCUAGUGCUGUUCAAGAAAGCAAGCAAUUACCAAAAUUGUUAUCAUCUUUUCAUGAUGUUGAAAUUACAAACGAAGUUUGGGCCAAUGGUUACAUCCAAAGUGAAAGGGGCAGCACUGCAGAGUCUAACAAAAUAUCAAAGAAGGUGAAAUUUUAUAGUCAGUGAGAUUUAGGUUUCAGGCUUGGAGUUCAUAGUCUUUUUUUGUAUCACUUGUACUAUUGAUCCCAUCCUUGUGGUUGUUUUACUUACCAAGUGUUUAAAUUGUCUCCAUUUGUUACCUUCUAAUUUAUUAGUGUUUAAGCCUUGUAGAUUCUUUUAUUCAAUUGCAUGGAGGUCAGAGAUCCCCAAAUUUUACUUCCACGGCUUGUGAGUACAUGUGCUUCCUCAGGUACCUACUUCUCAAAGGCCAUAUUUGUGCCGAGCAUGUCAACAUACAACAAGGUUACUUCUGGCAACUCCGCCAUUCCUUCAGGUAUCUCUAAUAGGGAUUUGUCUUGGCAAUUCAGCCUGCAGAGGCUUUGGGAGAAGAUUAUCCAUGGCAAAGAAGGAGGCGUGCUUGACAAAGGCUCCAAGUUGGACAGUGCAGAGAACUUACCCCCACAUGAAUUCCUUUAUGAGGAUGCUUCUCAUUGCAGUCCUGCAGAUGGAAUUUUGGCUUGCAGUUCUGUCAUUUCUUCAUUGCCACUGACAAUAAAAUGGUUGAGGGAUUGUGUUCGAGAAAACCCUACUCUAAGAGUUCAGGUGCUUGUCACUGGAUCAUUACAUCUGGUUGGAGAUGUACUGAAGCUAUUAAAGAGAUGAAUCAGAUGAUUUUGAUUAAAAGGCUGUCCAAACUUAGGAUUGUCCUUGCGUUCUUUCACACUGAUUUUAGCCGUUGUUUUUAAAGUAGCCAAGGUAUAUCAUGUAAGUUGAUGGUUGGCUAAACAAAUAAUAGACAUUGUUCAAGCGCCAAUCAUGGUGAUUUAUUACUAUCCUUUUUUUGUUCAAGUUACAUGUAUUCUAAUUAUUUGAAGGAGCAACCUUUGUUUAAAAAUUUAUUCAUGGAAUGUUCAAUUUGGCUUCCGAUUAAAAAAUGCUUGCACAUGC